This 465-nucleotide ribosomal RNA is filed under the name uncultured bacterium. RNAcentral's name for it is "partial 16S ribosomal RNA". It matches the Rfam family "Bacterial small subunit ribosomal RNA", at positions 28 to 507 of the family's 1533-position model. The record is from RNAcentral.
GACGAACGCUGGCGGCGUGCUUAACACAUGCAAGUCGAACGGAAAGGCCCCUUUGGGGGUACUCGAGUGGCGAACGGGUGAGUAACACGUCAGUAACCUGCCCUUGACUUCGGGAUAACUUCCGGAAACUGGGGCUAAUACCGGAUAGGAAUCCUUGCUGCAUGGUGGGGGUUGGAAAGCUUCGGCGGUUUUGGAUGGACUCGCGGCUUAUCAGCUUGUUGGUGGGGUAGUGGCUUACCAAGGCUUUGACGGGUAGCCGGCCUGAGAGGGCGACCGGCCACAUUGGGACUGAGAUACGGCCCAGACUCCUACGGGAGGCAGCAGUGGGGAAUCUUGCACAAUGGGCGGAAGCCUGAUGCAGCAACGCCGCGUGCGGGAUGACGGCCUUCGGGUUGUAAACCGCUUUCAGCAGGGGCGAAGCUUGUGGUGACGGUACCUGCAGAAGAAGCACCGGCUAACUACGUG